UGAGGAAUAUUGGGCAAUGCCCGCAAGGGUGACCCAGCAACGCCGCGUGGAGGAUGAAUGUCGUAAGAUUGUAAACUCCUGUUAGAGGGGAAGAAUAGUACCGGUUGGACCGGUAUAUGACUGUACCCUCAGAGAAAGCCCCGGCUAACUACGUGCCAGCAGCCGCGGUAAUACGUAGGGGGUAAGCGUUGUCCGGAUUUACUGGGUGUAAAGGGCGCGCAGGCGGGAUAAAAAGUCAGUGGUGAAAUCCUACAGCUUAACUGUAGAACUGCCUUUGAUACUUUUAUUCUUGAGUUCGGGAGAGAGAGACGGAAUUCCAGGUGUAGUGGUGAAAUACGUAGAUAUCUGGAAGAACACCAGUUGCGAAGGCGGUCUCUUGGUCCGACACUGACGCUGAGGCGCGAAAGCGUGGGGA
This 415-nucleotide ribosomal RNA is filed under the name uncultured bacterium. RNAcentral's name for it is "bacterial SSU rRNA". It matches the Rfam family "Bacterial small subunit ribosomal RNA", at positions 355 to 767 of the family's 1533-position model. The record is from RNAcentral.